RNAcentral lists this ribosomal RNA (467 nucleotides) under uncultured bacterium. Its description in RNAcentral is "partial 16S ribosomal RNA". It matches the Rfam family "Bacterial small subunit ribosomal RNA", at positions 28 to 506 of the family's 1533-position model. The record is from RNAcentral.
GACGAACGCUGGCGGCGUGCUUAACACAUGCAAGUCGAACGGAAAGGCCCUGCUUUUGUGGGGUGCUCGAUUGCCGAACGGGUGAGUAACACGUGUGUAACCUGCCCUUGACUUUGGGAUAACUUUAGGAAACUGGGGCUAAUACCGGAUAGGAGCUCCUGCUGCAUGGUGGGGGUUGGAAAGUUUCGGCGGUUGGGGAUGGACUCGCGGCUUACCAGCUUGUUGGUGGGGUAGUGGCUUACCAAGGCUUUGACGGGAAGCCGGCCUGGGAGGGUGACCGGCCCCAUUGGGCCUGGGGAACGGCCCGGACUCCUACGGGAGGAAGCGGUGGGAAAUUUUGCAAAAUGGGCGGAGGCCUGAUGCAGCAACGCCGCGUGGGGAAUGACGGCCUUCGGGUUGUAACCUGCUUUCGCCUGUGACGAAGCGUGAGGAAGGGAAAUGGGUAAAGAAGCACGGCCAAACUAGGG